UACGGGGGGGGCAAGCGUCGUUCGGAAUUACUGGGCGUAAAGGGUUCGUAGGUGGCUUGCUAAGUCAGACGUGAAAUCCCUCAGCUUAACUGGGGAACUGCGUCUGAUACUGGCGAGCUUGAGUGCAGGAGAGGAACGCAGAAUUCCAGGUGUAGCGGUGAGAUGCGUAGAUAUCUGGAGGAAUACCGGUGGCGAAGGCGGCGUUCUGGACUGCAACUGACACUGAUGAACGAAAGCCAGGGGAGCAAACGGG
This 253-nucleotide ribosomal RNA is filed under the name uncultured bacterium. RNAcentral describes it as "partial 16S ribosomal RNA". It matches the Rfam family "Bacterial small subunit ribosomal RNA", at positions 524 to 776 of the family's 1533-position model. The record is from RNAcentral.